RNAcentral lists this ribosomal RNA (2049 nucleotides) under Triticum aestivum (bread wheat). RNAcentral describes it as "partial small subunit ribosomal RNA". Lineage: Eukaryota; Viridiplantae; Streptophyta; Magnoliopsida; Poales; Poaceae. The record is from RNAcentral.
AUGCAAGUAGAUUUGGAGGCACUCGAACAUGAUCCUGGAAAGCGGAUUCCCAUCUCAGUGUAUGUUGUCAAUGACCAAGAUAGAGUAAGAAGGGGAUAUAUUGAGAUGGAGUCAUGUCAACCAAAGAAUCAUAAGUUCAAGUUUAGAAAUAAAAGUGGAAAAGAGCGUCGCUUUUGCUGUGUUUGGUUUAAAGAAUUUCCGUGGAUUGAGUAUAGUGUGCAUAGAGCUUCCUGCUUCGUUUGCUAUUUGUUCAAGGAUAAAACAAGAUGUCCUGGUGGAGAUGAUUUUGUGAAGAAGGGAUUUAAUAACUGGAACAUGAAGUCGAGAUUGAAGAAACAUGAAGGUGGGGUUAGUAGUGCUCAUGCUGAAGCUCAAGAGAAGUAUGAUAAGUUCACUACACCACAAACAUGAAUUCUGGAGUCUAUUGCUUCAAACACCUCACAAUACAAGCUUUAUAAACAACGUUUGACAUGGACACUCAAGUGUGUGAGAUUUCUGUUGUGCCAAGGCUUGACAUUUAGAGGACAUGAUGAAAGUGGAGACUCACUAAAUAAACGAAAUUUCCUUGAGCUUCUAAAUUCGCUAGCAGGAAAUUUUGAAGAGGUUGACAGGGUUGUUCUCAAGAAUGAUCCACGGAAUUGCAGAAUGACUCACCAUGAUAUACAACAAGAGGUGAUAAAAUGUUGUGCACAAGAGACUACUAAACUAGCCAUUGAAGAACUUGAUGGUGGUCAUUUUGCAAUACUUGCAGAUGAGUCUAGUGAUGUGUAUUAGAAUGAACAGUUGGUUGUUUGCUUGCGUUAUGUUGAUAAGAAAGGAAGGGCGGUUGUAAGAUUUCUUGGUCUUGCUCAUGUUGAAGAUACUACCUCUUUGACACUAAAAGCUGCAAUUCAGAAAAUGCUUAUGGAAUACAAUUUGACCUUUGCAAUGUAUGUUCAUUAUUUUGCCCGUGAACUACAGUUAACUCUUGUUGUUGUUGCUAAGGAGAGUGGUGAUUGUACUUGGUUCUUUCAGCAGCUUGCACACUUUUUAAUUGCUCUUGACAUGUCUUGUAAAAAUAUGAGAAUGCUUCGGAUAGCUCAGGCUGAAGAACUCAUUGAUGCGUUGGAAUUGGAAAAAGUGGAAACAAGGAGUCUGAAUCAGGAAAUGGGUUUGGGAAGGCCAUGUGAUACAUGUUGGGGCUCUCACUUCAAAACUAUGAACCAUGUCAUCUCUAUGUAUGGUGCACUACGACGGGUCCUUCGCAAGAUUGGAGACGAGUACCAUGGUGCGGAGGCACAAGCAGCUCUAUCCAUAGAGACAAUAUUUCGAUCAUUUGAGUUUGUUUUCAUGGCACACUUGAUGCAAGAAAUAUUUGGAUACAUAGAUGAGUUGUGUAGAGCUUUGCAAAAGCAACACGAAGAUAUUGUUCAUGCUAUUAAGCUUGUUGGUGACACAAAGUAUUACUUGGAGGCUUUGAGGACCGAUGUUGGAUGUGAUGAUUUUCUCACAAAGGUCACAUCUUUUUGUACAAAGCAUAACAUCAAAGUUGUUGAUAUGAAGGGUCCUUACUUCCCCGUUGGCCGACCUAGAAGGGGUUUAUGUAAUGGUGCGACCAAUUACCACCGCUUCAAGGUUGAUAUGUUUGUGGGUGUCAUUGAUAGGCAAAUCAGUGAGUUGAAUGGCAGAUUUGAUGAGGUAAACACAUAGCUACUUUCUUGCAUGGCAGCAUUCUGUCCACUUCAUCUAUUUGCUGCUUAUGAAGAAGAGAAGUUGGUUAGGCUUGCUACAAAGUUUUAUGCUUUUGAUUUUAUAAGGGAUGAACUGGCAAGACUUCCAUGGCAACUAAACAUGUAUGCUACUAAUUUGAUUCUACCAGUAGUUUUUGCUGGUGUUGAACGAGUAUUCUCUUCAAUGAGCUAUGUGAAGAAUAAGCUAAGGAACAAAAUGGGUGAUGAAUAUUUGAACAUUUGUUUGGUUACAUUCGUUGAGAGAUAAUUAUUCAAUCAAGUGAAGGAUGAAGAUGUCAUCAAUCUGUUCCAAAAAGGUAACCGCAGAGUUAAAUUGUAA